This 387-nucleotide long non-coding RNA is filed under the name Nicotiana tabacum (common tobacco). RNAcentral's name for it is "long non-coding RNA (NTAB_LNC015245)". The record is from RNAcentral. Lineage: Eukaryota; Viridiplantae; Streptophyta; Magnoliopsida; Solanales; Solanaceae.
GGGAAUCGGGUGAAUUCUAGUUUUUUGGCCGUAAAAAUCAAAACAACGAGGAACGGCCAUGGUGGGGCGGUGACUAUGGUUCCUUAGGUCAUAUUUAAUGGCCCAGAAUAAUUUUAGGCGAUCGGUGUCCGAGGGCCCGGACCCACUCGGAAGGCGUGGGCUAUAGAACACGAAUAUAUGGGAAUCAGGCGGAAUUUUAGUUUUUUGGCCGUAAAACGCAAAACAACAAGGAACGGCCAUGACGGGGCGGUGACUAUGGUUCCUUAGGUCGUAUUUGAUGGCCCCGAAUAAUUUUAGGCGAUCGGGGUCCGGGGGCUCGGAGCCACUCGGAAGGCAGGGGCUAUAGCACACGAAAAUAUGGGAAUCGGGCAAAAUUCUAUUUUUUUA